Molecule: transfer RNA, 90 nt
Filed under: Apibacter mensalis
Lineage: Bacteria; Pseudomonadati; Bacteroidota; Flavobacteriia; Flavobacteriales; Weeksellaceae
Description: tRNA_Ser_GGA
Rfam family: tRNA
About the family: Transfer RNA (tRNA) molecules are approximately 80 nucleotides in length. Their secondary structure includes four short double-helical elements and three loops (D, anti-codon, and T loops).
Source: RNAcentral
AGAGAGGUGCUCGAGUGGUUGAAGAGGCUACCCUGGAAAGGUAGUAUACGGGUGACCGUAUCGUGGGUUCGAAUCCCAUCCUCUCUGCUA